RNAcentral lists this transfer RNA (72 nucleotides) under Bos taurus (domestic cattle). It matches the Rfam family "tRNA". Rfam says of the family: Transfer RNA (tRNA) molecules are approximately 80 nucleotides in length. Their secondary structure includes four short double-helical elements and three loops (D, anti-codon, and T loops). Lineage: Eukaryota; Metazoa; Chordata; Mammalia; Artiodactyla; Bovidae. The record is from Rfam by way of RNAcentral. RNAcentral also lists the same sequence under 4 other names.
UCCCUGGUGGCUCAGCUGGUAGAGAAUCUGCCUGCAAUGCGGGAGACUUGGGUUCAAUUCCUGGGUAAGGAA